GUUGGAGGCAGGCAUGGCCGUGGACCAAAGAGCGAAGCAAAAUGGCGAAAGAAACAACGAAACACGUGCCAGUGAUGUUGAAGGAGGAGGGGAGCAUCUGAGCUCCAGAUAACAUGGACCCUCACAGCGAAGAGGAAAAUCUGCCGUAAUUUUCCGACGAUUUUAGACAAUUGAGAUUGGUGGGACCGGAAGGACCUUGUGGCGGAGAUUUAGAGAUUCGUUACAGAGGCCAGUGGAUGUCAGUCUGCACCACCCAUUGGGAUGAAAGCUAUGGAGAAAUCGUCUGUAGACAGGUUGGAUGCAACCUCUACGACGCGCUACUAAUCAAACCUAUCUCGCGCAAAGAUGGGCCGCUUUUGCUGGACAAAGUUCAAUGCAACGGAACUGGUAUUUCAUCCUCGGGCUGUUCGUUCACUGUCUCCAACGCGAAGGACUGCGAAAGUGGGACGAUUG
Molecule: long non-coding RNA, 453 nt
Organism: Amblyraja radiata (thorny skate)
Lineage: Eukaryota; Metazoa; Chordata; Chondrichthyes; Rajiformes; Rajidae
Exons: 3
Source: RefSeq, a predicted model, not a curated record